RNAcentral lists this signal recognition particle RNA (116 nucleotides) under Nomascus leucogenys (northern white-cheeked gibbon). RNAcentral describes it as "Metazoan signal recognition particle RNA". It matches the Rfam family "Metazoan signal recognition particle RNA". From Rfam's summary of the family: The signal recognition particle (SRP) is a universally conserved ribonucleoprotein. It is involved in the co-translational targeting of proteins to membranes. Lineage: Eukaryota; Metazoa; Chordata; Mammalia; Primates; Hylobatidae. The record is from Rfam by way of RNAcentral.
GCCGGGUGUGGUGGCUCACACCUGUAAUCCCAGCAUUUGGGAGGCUGAGGCGGGUGGAUCACCUGAGGCCAGGAGUUUGAGACCAGCCUGGCCAACAUGGUGAAACCCCAUCUCUA